RNAcentral lists this ribosomal RNA (292 nucleotides) under uncultured bacterium. Its description in RNAcentral is "partial 16S ribosomal RNA". It matches the Rfam family "Bacterial small subunit ribosomal RNA", at positions 505 to 796 of the family's 1533-position model. The record is from RNAcentral.
GUGCCAGCAGCCGCGGUAAUACGUAGGGGGCAAGCGUUGUCCGGAUUUACUGGGUGUAAAGGGCGCGUAGGCGGCUAUAAAAGUCAGUGGUGAAAUCCUGCGGCUUAACUGCAGAACUGCCAUUGAUACUGUAUAGCUUGAGUGCGGAAGAGAGAGACGGAAUUCCAGGUGUAGUGGUGAAAUACGUAGAUAUCUGGAAGAACACCAGUUGCGAAGGCGGUCUCUUGGUCCGUUACUGACGCUGAGGCGCGAAAGCGUGGGUAGCAAACAGGAUUAGAAACCCUGGUAGUCC